AAUCCAUAGGUUAAUGAGGCGAACCGGGGGAACUGAAACAUCUAAGUACCCCGAGGAAAAGAAAUCAACCGAGAUUCCCCCAGUAGCGGCGAGCGAACGGGGAGGAGCCCAGAGCCUGAAUCAGCAUGUGUGUUAGUGGAAGCGUCUGGAAAGGCGCGCGAUACAGGGUGACAGCCCCGUACACAAAAGCGCAUGUGCUGUGAGCUCGAUGAGUAGGGCGGGACACGUGGUAUCCUGUCUGAAUAUGGGGGGACCAUCCUCCAAGGCUAAAUACUCCUGACUGACCGAUAGUGAACCAGUACCGUGAGGGAAAGGCGAAAAGAACCCCGGCGAGGGGAGUGAAAAAGAACCUGAAACCGUGUACGUACAAGCAGUGGGAGCACCCUUUGGGGUGUGACUGCGUACCUUUUGUAUAAUGGGUCAGCGACUUAUAUUCUGUAGCAAGGUUAACCGUAUAGGGGAGCCGGAGGGAAACCGAGUCUUAAUUGGGCGUUAAGUUGCAGGGUAUAGACCC
Molecule: ribosomal RNA, 514 nt
Filed under: Salmonella enterica subsp. enterica serovar Oranienburg
Lineage: Bacteria; Pseudomonadati; Pseudomonadota; Gammaproteobacteria; Enterobacterales; Enterobacteriaceae
Description: partial 23S ribosomal RNA
Rfam family: Bacterial large subunit ribosomal RNA
Source: RNAcentral